CUCACCAAGCGGCAAGCUUUAUUUCAUCGUCUCCUUUUAUAUUUUUCGCCCCCCGCCUCCCCUUUUCGCCUCUUUUUUUUUUUUUUUUUUUUUUUCUCCCCUCCUUCCACCCCCGUUUUGCGAACGCCCCAAGGUGGACGCGGAGCGCCAAAAGACCUUGGCUUUAAAAAUGCCCAUGGAGCUGACGCAAAGCCGCAUCCAGAAGAUUUGGCUCCCCAAUGACAACCGGCCGGCGCUGCCCCGCCGCUCCUGUGGGCCGCAGCUCGCCAAUUCCCCCACUGUGAUAGUGAUGGUUGGCCUCCCGGCCCGGGGGAAGACCUACAUCUCCAAGAAGCUGACUCGCUACCUCAACUGGAUCGGCGUCCCGACUAAAGUUUUCAACGUGGGCGAGUAUCGCCGCGAGGCGGUGAAGCAUUACAGCUCCUAUGACUUCUUCCGCCCCGACAACGAGGAGGCCAUGAAAGUCCGGAGGCAGUGUGCCCUGGCUGCCCUGAGGGACGUCAAGCAGUACCUGACAGAGGAGGCUGGCCAGAUCGCGGUUUUUGAUGCCACCAAUACCACACGGGAGAGAAGAGGGAUGAUCCUAAACUUUGCCAAAGAAAAUGGGUUCAAGGUGUUCUUCAUUGAGUCUGUCUGCAAUGACCCCACGGUAGUUGCCACCAAUGUUAUGGAAGUAAAACUGUCCAGCCCUGAUUACCGGGACUGUAAUUCAACCGAUGCCAUGGAGGACUUUAUGAAGAGAAUCAAUUGUUACCAGGCCAGCUACCAGCCACUUGACCCUGAUGACUAUGACCGGGAGCUUUCUCUCAUCAAAGUCAUCGAUGUUGGCCGGAGGUUUCUGGUCAACAGGGUCCAGGAUCACAUCCAGAGCAGGAUUGUUUACUACCUGAUGAACAUCCAUGUCCAGCCCCGCACCAUUUACCUAUGUCGGCAUGGCGAGAGUGAGUUCAACCUCAAGGGAAAGAUUGGAGGUGACUCUGGCCUCUCCAACAGGGGCAAGAAGUUUGCACUGGCACUGAACAAAUUUGUUGAGGAGCAGAACCUAAAGGACCUCAAAGUCUGGACCAGCCAACUAAAGAGAACAAUCCAAACAGCAGAAGCACUCCAGUUGCCCUAUGAGCAGUGGAAGGCACUCAAUGAAAUAGAUGCUGGUGUGUGUGAAGAAAUGACCUAUGAAGAAAUCAGGGACCAACAUCCAGAGGAAUUUGUUUUACGCGAUCAGGAUAAAUAUUACUACCGCUAUCCUUCUGGAGAGUCCUACCAAGAUCUGGUGCAGCGCCUAGAGCCAGUCAUCAUGGAGCUGGAGAGACAAGAGAAUGUCCUCGUGAUCUGUCACCAGGCGGUCAUGCGCUGCCUCCUUGCUUACUUCUUGGACAAAAGUGCAGAUGAAAUGCCCUACCUGAAGUGUCCUCUUCACACAGUAUUGAAGCUGACCCCGGUGGCCUAUGGCUGCCGGGUGGAAUCCAUCUCUCUGAACAUCGAAGCUGUUAACACCCACAGGGAGCGGCCAGAGGAAGCAAAGAAGGGACCUAACCCGCUCAUGAGACGUAAUAGCGUUACCCCUCUAGCAAGCCCAGAGCCCACCAAAAAACCUCGCAUCAACAGCUUUGAGGAGCAUGUGGCUGUUUCUUCCGCCCUGCCAGGCUGUGUUCCUCAGGAAGUGCCCACGCAGCUGCCGGGACAACCUUUACUAGGAAAGGCAUGCCUAUGCUGCCUAAAUUCCUGCUUCCUCCCUGAGUAGUCACUGGAUGGGAGAUGCCGUUGGGUUUUCCUGGAGUUCUCUGUGGCAGCGCUUUGUAACACGACCAGUUUGUCACUUUCUCAAAGUUUUCUCUUUACUAAUAUUUCCAAGAACAUGAACAACUCGCAGAAGCCGUCGUGACUCUGUUGGCGCUGUCGCAAGGCCACCAGCGAUGCCAGCUCCCAUCCCAUCGUCAUUUCUUGAAGCUUGCUUGUAAAACCGGUCUCCUCCGUUUGCGGUGAGGUCGACCCUCGGCUGUUUCUAUCCACGCCCGUUCAUCUGCAAACUGCUCUGCUGAAGGGGGGAGAGAGGCAGGAGAGCGAAGGAGAGGAGGGAGACGAGCUCCCAGGUUCACCAGGUCUCCAGGCUUGCAGCAUUGCUCUCCUCUCCGGCGUCCUGCUAGAGCAUAGCAAGCUGUAAAGUGCUUCUAGUGCGCAGGCGUCUCCGAGUUUAAUUUUCCUUUGUAAGCGGUUUUGAUCUCCUUUUGUAUAGCUGAUUGGUACCCAUCCGUCUUGGGGUGGAGUGUAUAUAUGUGAAUGGUGUGGGGUUAGCAGAGAAACGGGGGGAAGAGGGGUGGGGGGAACAAAGGGGGACUUCAUUUUUAUUAUUAUUAUUACUAAUUAUUUUGCAAGGAAGCCCCUAACGCACUGUGCUGCAGUCCUCAACCCGCACCAGCUACAGCCUGUCGCACACCUUGUUGAGGUGCACAAGAACUGCUGGUUUAAACCAAAAAAUAAUAAUAGCAAAAAAUAUAUAUUUAUAUAUAUAAAACCCCAUAUGUCAACUGAUAUAGCUUGAAGGGGUGUGCAGAGAAUAUAAAUCUGCUGCUGAAACCGGCCAUGAGCUGCUUGUAGCAUAGAGGGGGAACCACACUGAUGCUGGCUUGGGCAGACCCCAGUCCCUGGGCUGCUCCGAGUUCAGGUGUGUUUUGAUUUUUUUGGCAAGGGGACUGAGUGCCACUUGAGGUGAUGUGCUGGUAAUUGGCCUCCUCUUUCCUCUGGCUCAGGGGGAAAGAGAUGUAGGGGGGUGAGAAUGCCUGCAGUGCUGCAGGAGGUAGGUGGCCGGGCUGAGCUGGAUGCGUCGUGCAGGCGAGCAGGUCUUUUGGAUGGCUCCUAGGAGUCCCGGUGUGUCUGCAAAAAGUCACGAGAAGAGACAUUUUUUUUUUAAUUUAAUCUAUACACAUGCACACGCAUGUGUGUGGGUAUAUGUAUAUAUAGAAACCGCUUGGUUUUUGCACUUUAUUUGUGGCAGGAGCUAUUUUAUUUCUUAUUUUUUUAAGCUGUGCCUCUUAACAGGGGAAGCCUGAAUGCAGGCAACUUUUUUUCUUUUUGCACGCUGGGAAGCUGGGACUACACAAAAGCAGUAGUUUUGGCUUCUGAGGUGUGCAUGUGUGCGUGCAGGGGAAAACGGGGCAAGGUCCUGGUUUGCGCUCCUUCAGCCCUUCAAACCACCUUCCUGGUGGCUUGAGAUACAAGAACCCUUCUUGGCAGCCUGGCCUAGGCUGUGAGCCAGCAGUUAAAGGACAAUUAACCACUACUGCUUUGUGCAAAAAUCUGUGGUUCCCUGCCCCAUCCUAUGUAUUGCUUUUUCUUUAUCCCUGUCUUGUGCUUUUUCCCUGCACAAGUGAGCUGGAGGCAGGAGGUGAAGGUGGUCAAGUCCUCCUUUAUCCCCUUUUUUGGGGGGGGACUGGAGAUGGGGCAGUCCUUUGGUUUUACCCCUCCUUUGGCUUCCUCCUCUCCCCGGGUAGGAACCAACAUCCAUGCAGAUGGGAGCAGAGUUUUGGGGGAAGUGUUUUUUUUUUUAUUUUUUAUUUUUUAUUUUUUGAAAUGUAUAUAUAUAUUUUUUUUUUUAGGUGGGGAGGUUGGUUCCUUUGCCCUUUGGGAAAAGGCGAACCGCAGUGCCUAGCACUUCAGUCUCAUGCAGCAAAAACCACGUUGCAUGGGCUCAACAGCAGGAUGGGUCUGGGACCGUGCUCAGUCCCUAUCCAACCCCAGGAGCCCAUCCUGGUGGUGCCCUGCCUGCGUGCGCAUGUCCAUACGUGUAUAUUCCUGUACAGACGAAACAAAAACACCUCCCCCUCCUUUUUUUAACCGCAUUAAAGCAGCGUCCUGCAUGCACGUGCGGUUGACGUCUGCCCUUUUGGUUUCCCUGACUUUGAGAGAGGGGAGUGCCUGGGGAGGGCGACUCGCUGGCCCUUGUAGCCCGUUUCCUGGGGAGUUAUCUUUCUCCUCCUGCUACCAGGAGAUAAGCUGGCAAAUGCAAACAUGACGUCUGGCUGCCCCUGAUCAGUCCUGUAAGCGUGUAAUUCUGCAGAUGUUUUGGCAUGUAUUUGUGUGUGUACAUAUAUGAAUUCAUAUAUAUAAAUCUGGAAAAAAACAUCCUUAAACUAUUUCUUCCUCUGGAAAUACUAAAAGUCUCAGUCCCACAAAAAGAUAAAACCUGGUCAUGUUUUUUUUUCUUUCUUUUGUGAUAUCUUUUCUUUUUUCCCCCAUCAAGAGGGAGCAGCAGAGUGGUCUUCUCUUGCUUUGGGGGUAGGUGGCAGGAUGGUGUCACCCCCAACCCAUUGAGUUUUGGCUAACAGAUCCAGGACCAGGCAAGGAUGCUGCAGCCAAGGAAGGUGGCCAGAGGGGACUUGUUGAACCACACCAGUAGUUUUCCCUCCACCCCCUUAUUUUUUUUGUUUUCCUUUGUGAUACUUGAAUUUAUUUUUUUAUGAUUUUUUUUUGAUAGCGAACUGCUUUUUAUUUAUUUAAUGUAUACUGCAGAGCUUGGAGAGAAGGGUAGUUACUUGGGAUUCUUUUUUUUGUGUGUGUGUGCUUUGUUAACUGUUCUGUAUAUACGUCUGGAAUAAUUGCCUGAUACAAAGCUGUGCCAGCUUAAAAACAGGGUAUGCCUUUCAGAAAUUUGUAUAUUUUGCAGUUGCUGGACCAAUAAAAUAUCUUGUUGAAAUAUGGA
RNA transcript from Oxyura jamaicensis (ruddy duck), 4696 nucleotides. It is a transcript of the gene named 6-phosphofructo-2-kinase/fructose-2,6-biphosphatase 3, with no coding region annotated. The record is from RefSeq and is a predicted model, not a curated record. NCBI's taxonomy places the organism in Eukaryota, Metazoa, Chordata, Aves, Anseriformes, Anatidae. The transcript has 18 exons.